RNAcentral lists this long non-coding RNA (2113 nucleotides) under Citrus sinensis (sweet orange). RNAcentral's name for it is "long non-coding RNA (CSIN_LNC004671)". Lineage: Eukaryota; Viridiplantae; Streptophyta; Magnoliopsida; Sapindales; Rutaceae. The record is from RNAcentral.
UUGGCUUCUGAAGAAAUAGACGACCGGCAACUAAGAGGAGAAUUGGAGAUUGCAGUCGCAAGAAGAGAAGAAAAAAAUAGAAGCAGAGUUAAGUCUUUUGAAUUAAUCUCCAUGAUUGGUUUUAUCAACUCUUUUAUUUCCAAUUCAAUUACAUUAGGCUAAAUUUUCUAUUUGGUUGAGGGUGAAUUCAAAACCCCAAACAUGUGAUAUAAUUAAUUUUUAAUUUCUUUCAUUCAAUUUAAUUGAAAUUGUUUAUGUUCUUCUAUAAUUAAUGUCCAUAUUUUAUUCUUGUCUUAUUUGAGUGGCAAAAUAGAUAGGACUUGAAUAAAUUCUAUUGCUAGAUUAAAAUUCUUGAUCCGUAAUUGUCUUGAUAUUUUAAUCCUCAGUAGCAGGUUAGAAUCAAUGAUUUCAAUUGGAGAACAUUACCUAGGUUAAAUAAUCCGAGCUUAUGUAUUUAUUGCCUAGAUCAACCUGAUAUCUUUCUUGACUUAAUGCCUUCCAUUAUCUUAAAUUUAAAGAGCUUAUUUUAAAUUAUUUAAUGGUCAAAGAUUAGGUGAAAGAGUUUGUUUUGUCUAAUAACACACUAAGGAAAGAUUGACAUUAACAGAGUUUAUUGUUUCCUACAGUUGAUAGUUUCAGAACAAAUUGAUGAUAGAAUUGAUAUAUUAUAUGCAUGUUUGAUGGUGGCGAAUGAUCCUUUAAUCAAAGUUUUCAUCAUUAUUAUUUUUUUCUCCUUUAAUUAGAGUUUUUAUUGAAUUAUUGUUUUCAUAGUUUUAAUUUCUUUAUUUCUUACUAUUUAGUUAAAAAUUCAUAAAACCCCCAUUUUUAUUUAUAACUUGCAUUUUCUUUAAUUAGAUUAAUUAUUAUUAUUAUUAUUUAUUUAUUUUAUUUUAAGUCCUACUUUAGAGUUGAUCAUAAAUAUAACUAGCAUAGUGUUUGUGGGAUCGAUUCUUAUUCGCUUUGUAAUAGUUAUUUAUAUUAUUAGUAAGGUUUUAAAUUUGAUGUACUCUAACGACACUACCAAUCAUUUUUCUUUCAUUAUGAUUUUGAAUCAACUCUAACAUGCACAAAUACAUUAUCAUAGAUAAAAACAUUAUUUUCCUUUGGCACAUGGUCAAUCACAUGUAUAAGAUAAUUUUUCUUUGGUUGCAUAUAAGUUGCUUCAGGAGUAACAUACUCCUUUUUCUUGUCCUUUUGCUCUGUCACCAUCUAAUUAAAAUGAAUGAAAUCUAAAGACUCAAAAUAUUAUACAUUUUUAGUGAUUCAUGCCAGUAAUAUGGCAAAUGCUAUGUUACAAUUAAUGUAACAUACACACUCAACAACAACCACACAAAUUGUGUGGGCCCAUUAUUUAUGUGGUUGUUGUUGAGUGUGUAUGUUACAUUAAUUGUAACAUAGGGGCUCCCCAAUAAUAUUAAUUGAGAGAAGAUAAUAAUGUUAAUAGAAACUUCAUGGUUGUAACAAAAUAUGCAGAUUUGUUGUAACAAGAAGUGUGUAAGAUGAAGCAAUAUCUAAGUUAGAAACAAUUAAAUUGUUGGAAGCAGUUUACAGUACACUUUUAUUUUUAGAAAUGAAUUUGCCAAUGACUCGUAGGGAUGGAGCCUUGGGGGUACCUAAGUGAGAAAAUACAUAAAAGAGAACCUGAGUAGCAAUGGUUGACUUUUGUGGAUGCAUUUUUUGAAAUCAUAUGGAGCACAUCAACGUUAGGAAAUAUCAAGAAGCGUGCUUUUAAGGAUUUUCUCUUCACCUCUAUUUAGUUUUUAAUCUUAUUCAUAUGUGUUUGUAAAUAUUGAACCAAGACCUUGUGGGGACCUUAAGGGUAUCCCAUAAUAAUUAGCUUCAUUAUAAAAAUGUAUAUGUAAAUAUUGUAUAAAAACCUUGUGGGGACUUCAAGGUACCUCACAACGGUCACUUUUAUUAUGAAUAAGUAUCUGUAAAUAUUGUGUAAAGUCCUUGUUGGGACCUUAGGGUUACCCAACAAUGGUCAAUUAUGCUGUAAGUCUCUAUAAAGACUUAAGAGAUAAAAAAAUAUCACUCUUCCGAGGUUAACCACAGCCAAUCUUGUGAUGCUAUGAUCUAUGUUUACUGAUUAGUGUUAAAAAUUGUAUGUUUA